UCUUGCGUGGGCCUGCCAGCUGGUGGCUGUGUCCCCUUCUCCGAGGACCUCCCGUAAGUGACAGCAGGCAGUGGCCACUGGGAAUGCCAUGCUCCCUGCCCCUUGCGUGGGCCCCAGCUUUGCACUGCUCCUUACACUCAUCCUUCCCCCCCGCCCCGCCUCUCUGAUAGCCUAGGUCCCCUCCUCAUGGGGACACUGGGGACAGUGGCUGACAUAUCCCCUCUGUGUACCUUCCAUGUCCACCCAUGUGGCCAGGUCAGGCUUCGAGCAGGAUGUGGACGGAGCCCCUGGGCUUGCAGGAGCCUGCCAAGACAUGCCAGCCACAGGGGACAGCAAUGGUGACGAG
Molecule: long non-coding RNA, 346 nt
Filed under: Struthio camelus australis
Lineage: Eukaryota; Metazoa; Chordata; Aves; Struthioniformes; Struthionidae
Description: lncRNA (ENSSCUG00000004506.1)
Source: RNAcentral